AAAUUGAAGAGUUUGAUCAUGGCUCAGAUUGAACGCUGGCGGCAGGCCUAACACAUGCAAGUCGAACGGUAACAGGAAGCAGCUUGCUGCUUUGCUGACGAGUGGCGGACGGGUGAGUAAUGUCUGGGAAACUGCCUGAUGGAGGGGGAUAACUACUGGAAACGGUAGCUAAUACCGCAUAACGUCGCAAGACCAAAGAGGGGGACCUUCGGGCCUCUUGCCAUCGGAUGUGCCCAGAUGGGAUUAGCUUGUUGGUGGGGUAACGGCUCACCAAGGCGACGAUCCCUAGCUGGUCUGAGAGGAUGACCAGCCACACUGGAACUGAGACACGGUCCAGACUCCUACGGGAGGCAGCAGUGGGGAAUAUUGCACAAUGGGCGCAAGCCUGAUGCAGCCAUGCCGCGUGUAUGAAGAAGGCCUUCGGGUUGUAAAGUACUUUCAGCGGGGAGGAAGGGAGUAAAGUUAAUACCUUUGCUCAUUGACGUUACCCGCAGAAGAAGCACCGGCU
RNAcentral lists this ribosomal RNA (508 nucleotides) under Escherichia coli. Its description in RNAcentral is "bacterial SSU rRNA". It matches the Rfam family "Bacterial small subunit ribosomal RNA", at positions 1 to 498 of the family's 1533-position model. The record is from RNAcentral. Lineage: Bacteria; Pseudomonadati; Pseudomonadota; Gammaproteobacteria; Enterobacterales; Enterobacteriaceae.